This 482-nucleotide ribosomal RNA is filed under the name uncultured bacterium. RNAcentral describes it as "bacterial SSU rRNA". It matches the Rfam family "Bacterial small subunit ribosomal RNA", at positions 29 to 505 of the family's 1533-position model. The record is from RNAcentral.
ACGAACGCUGGCGGCGGGCCUCAUACAUGCAAGUCGAGCGCGUGUAGCAAUACACGAGCGGCGUACUGGUGAGUAACGGGUGGAUAAUCUGCCUCCGGGUAGGGGAUAACGGCUGGAAACGGCCGCUAAUACCGUAUACGGUCGCCGGGUCCUUGGACCUGGCGAAGAAAGGGGCUUCACGGCCUCGCCGGGAGAUGAGUCCGCCUCCGAUUAGCUAGUUGGUGGGGUAAUGGCCCACCAAGGCUUUGAUCGGUAGCGGAACUGAGAGGUUGAUCGGCCACACUGGAACUGAGACACGGUCCAGACACCUAUGGGUGGCAGCAGUAGGGAGUAUUGCGCAAUGGGCGAAAGCCUGACGCAGCCACGCCGCGUGGAUGAUGAAGGCCUUCGGGUCGUAAAGUCCUUUUAUGAGGGAAGAACAGUCCGGUCAGGAAAUGGUCCGGAUUUGACGGUACCUCAGGAAUAAGCCACGGCUAACUCUG